AUAUUGCGCAAUGGGGGAAACCCUGACGCAGCAACGCCGCGUGAAGGAUGAAGGUUUUCGGAUCGUAAACUUCUUUGAUUGGGGACGAAUAAUGACGGUACCCAAAAAACAAGCCACGGCUAACUACGUGCCAGCAGCCGCGGUAAUACGUAGGUGGCGAGCGUUGUCCGGAAUUACUGGGUGUAAAGGGCGUGUAGGCGGGAAAGCAAGUCAGAUGUGAAAUACCGUGGCUUAACCACGGGGCUGCAUCUGAAACUGUUUUUCUUGAGUGUCGGAGAGGAAAGUGGAAUUCCCAGUGUAGCGGUGAAAUGCGUAGAUAUAGGAAGGAACACCAGUGGCGAAGGCGACCACCUGGGCUAAUACUGACGCUGAGGUGCGAAAGCGUGGGGAGCAAACAGG
RNAcentral lists this ribosomal RNA (399 nucleotides) under uncultured bacterium. RNAcentral's name for it is "partial 16S ribosomal RNA". It matches the Rfam family "Bacterial small subunit ribosomal RNA", at positions 361 to 776 of the family's 1533-position model. The record is from RNAcentral.